This 253-nucleotide ribosomal RNA is filed under the name uncultured bacterium. RNAcentral describes it as "partial 16S ribosomal RNA". It matches the Rfam family "Bacterial small subunit ribosomal RNA", at positions 524 to 776 of the family's 1533-position model. The record is from RNAcentral.
UACGUAGGGCGCAAGCGUUGUCCGGAAUUAUUGGGCGUAAAGAGCUCGUAGGCGGCCAGUUGCGUCUGCUGUGAAAUCCCGGGGCUCAACCCCGGGCGUGCAGUGGAUACGGGCUGGCUAGAGGCAGGCAGGGGAGAACGGAAUUCCCGGUGUAGCGGUGAAAUGCGUAGAGAUCGGGAGGAACAUCAGUGGCGAAGGCGGCCAUCUGGGACAACACUGACGCUGAAGCACGAAAGCGUGGGGAGCAAACAGG